Erinaceus europaeus (western European hedgehog) is the source of this 428-nucleotide long non-coding RNA. RefSeq lists it as uncharacterized. The record is from RefSeq and is a predicted model, not a curated record. The transcript has 3 exons. NCBI's taxonomy places the organism in Eukaryota, Metazoa, Chordata, Mammalia, Eulipotyphla, Erinaceidae.
CCACCGAGCGAGGCGCCAGUGGGGGUGCAUGAAGUAUCCAAUUCAGUAGAAUGUACUCAUUGUCCUGUUAUUCAAGGAAGACACCAAGAGAUGAGAGUGAUGCAAAAGCACAGAGUCUGUUGCUAGUCAGGCUAGGGUCGAGACCAUGCACCACACAGACACAGCUGCUCCAGGUGCUCGACCACGAACCCUAACACUACAGUGUAUAUAUUAGAAGAUGACAUCACUGACAGUGUUGCUAUCCAUACAAAGUAGUACAACAGAAGAAAAUUAUCAAUGCAUGAUCAACUUCUCUUCUACACAAAAUUAGAACAGUCUAUUUGCUAGUUAUCUCUUAGGCUGUCGUACACUUCUUAUAGAAUUGAAAAGGCAAAAUACCACAUAAUCUCUGCUGCAUUGCAGGGGUUCCUACAUUUGUUGACAUUUAU